ACGGCCGGCUCCAUUUGGGAAAAUAGAGCACCGCCUUUUUUUUCCCUCUCUGACGACUGAAAUCCAAAACCCCACUGCUUCUUCUUUUGCUCUACCGUGCACCUUUUUCUUUCCUCUCCUCCAGUACCUCUCUUCUCUCUCUCUCGACGGCCAGCAGUUGUGCCAUGAGUGGCAGCAGCCAGGGAGGUGCCAUCGGCGGCAAGCCCGACAUGUGUUCCACCAUCAGUGGCGACCCAAGGCCGUGCUGUGGGUGGCGGCCAGGUGGUGGCCGACUCUAUUUUCCUUAUGUCGGAUGUAGGGAGAAGAAAGAAAAAAGGAAAAAGAAUGAAGAAAAAGAAAAAGAAA
Elaeis guineensis (African oil palm) is the source of this 345-nucleotide non-coding RNA. The record is from RefSeq and is a predicted model, not a curated record. NCBI's taxonomy places the organism in Eukaryota, Viridiplantae, Streptophyta, Magnoliopsida, Arecales, Arecaceae.